This 260-nucleotide ribosomal RNA is filed under the name uncultured archaeon. RNAcentral describes it as "partial 16S ribosomal RNA". It matches the Rfam family "Archaeal small subunit ribosomal RNA", at positions 748 to 1008 of the family's 1478-position model. The record is from RNAcentral.
AGGGUGUAAACGCUGCAGACUUGGUGUUGGGAACCCUUCGGGGGUGCUCAGUGCCGGAGAGAAGUUGUUAAGUCUGCUACUUGGGGAGUACGUCCGCAAGGAUGAAACUUAAAGGAAUUGGCGGGGGAGCACCGCAACGGGAGGAGCGUGCGGUUUAAUUGGACUCAACACCGUAAACUCACCAGGGAAGACUGUUACAUGAAGGCCGAGAUGAAGACUCUGCUAGAUUUUCAGAGAGGAGGUGCAUGGCGUCAGUGACU